Molecule: ribosomal RNA, 497 nt
Filed under: uncultured bacterium
Lineage: Bacteria
Description: partial 16S ribosomal RNA
Rfam family: Bacterial small subunit ribosomal RNA
Source: RNAcentral
GAUGAACGCUGGCGGCGUGCCUAAUACAUGCAAGUCGAGCGAACAGAUAAGGUGCUUGCUCCUUUGACGUUAGCGGCGGACGGGUGAGUAACACGUGGGUAACCUAACUAUAAGACUGGGAUAACUUCGGGAAACCGGAGCUAAUACCGGAUAAUAUUACGAACCGCAUGGUUCGAUAGUGACAGAUGGUUUUGCUAUCACUUCAAGAUGGACCCGCGCCGUAUUAGCUAGUGGGUAAGGUAACGGCUUACAAACGCGACGAUACGUAGCCGACCUGAGAGGGUGAUCGGCCACACUGGGACUGAGACACGGUCCAGACUCCUACGGGAGGCAGCAGUAGGGAAUCUUCCGCAAUGGGCGAAAGCCUGACGGAGCAACGCCGCGUGAGUGAUGAAGGUCUUCGGAUCGUAAAACUCUGUUAUUAGGGAAGAACAUACGUGUAAGUAACUGUGCACGUCUUGACGGUACCUAAUCAGAAAGCCACGGCUAACUACGUG